This is a non-coding RNA of Hyaena hyaena (striped hyena), 546 nucleotides long. The record is from the annotation of a RefSeq genome assembly. Lineage: Eukaryota; Metazoa; Chordata; Mammalia; Carnivora; Hyaenidae.
CACAGACAUCUCACCAUGGAGUUUAUGCUUCUCUGGGCUUUCUUUGUUGCUGUUUUAAAAGGUGUCCAGUGUGAGGUGCAGCUGGUGGAGUCUGGUGGAGGUCUGGUGAAGCCUGGAGGGUCCCUGAGACUCUCCUGUGCAGCCUCCGGAUUCACCUUCAGUAGCUACGGCAUGAGCUGGGUCCGCCAGGCUCCAGGGAAGGGGCUGGAGUGGGUUGCAUACAUUUAUAGUAGUGGAAGCACAUACUACGCAGACUCCGUGAAGGGCCGGUUCACCAUCUCCAUAGACAACGCCAAGAACACAGUGGAUCUACAGAUGAACAACCUGAGAGUCGAAGACACGGCCACGUAUUUCUGUGCGAGAGACACAGUGAGGAAUCAUCAGGGAGCAGGGAGCGAUGGAGGUUACAGGCAGGUUUCCUGUCAGGGUCUGGGGCUUCCUCCCCAUAGAGUCAACUCCAGAGCAAGCAAAAUCAUCAUGGACCCAUUACAGAAAGUGCUCCACAUUCCUCAGGAGCCCGCCCGCUCAGCCCUGCAGGUGGACUGA